Molecule: ribosomal RNA, 253 nt
Filed under: uncultured bacterium
Lineage: Bacteria
Description: partial 16S ribosomal RNA
Rfam family: Bacterial small subunit ribosomal RNA
Source: RNAcentral
CGUCUGAUUAGCCAGUUGGCAGGGUAACGGCCUACCAAAGCGACGAUCAGUAGCCGACCUGAGAGGGUGACCGGCCACAUUGGGACUGAGACACGGCCCAAACUCCUACGGGAGGCAGCAGUGGGGAAUAUUGCACAAUGGGGGAAACCCUGAUGCAGCGACGCCGCGUGAGCGAAGAAGUAUUUCGGUAUGUAAACUUCUAUCAGCAGGGAAGAAGAUGACGGUACCUGACUAAGAAGCCCCGGCUAACUAC